UACGGGGGGGGCAAGCGUUGUUCGGAAUUACUGGGCGUAAAGGGCUCGUAGGCGGCCAACUAAGUCAGACGUGAAAUCCCUCGGCUUAACCGGGGAACUGCGUCUGAUACUGGAUGGCUGGAGGUUGGGAGAGGGGUGCGGAAUUCCAGGUGUAGCGGUGAAAUGCGUAGAUAUCUGGAGGAACACCGGUGGCGAAGGCGGCAUCCUGGACCAAUUCUGACGCUGAGGAGCGAAAGCCAGGGGAGCAAACGGG
RNAcentral lists this ribosomal RNA (253 nucleotides) under uncultured bacterium. RNAcentral describes it as "partial 16S ribosomal RNA". It matches the Rfam family "Bacterial small subunit ribosomal RNA", at positions 524 to 776 of the family's 1533-position model. The record is from RNAcentral.